GGAAUAUUGGACAAUGGGCGCAAGCCUGAUCCAGCCAUACCGCGUGGGUGAAGAAGGCCAUCGGGUUGUAAAGCCCUUUUGUUGGGAAAGAAAUCCAGCUGGCUAAUACCCGGUUGGGAUGACGGUACCCAAAGAAUAAGCACCGGCUAACUUCGUGCCAGCAGCCGCGGUAAUACGAAGGGUGCAAGCGUUACUCGGAAUUACUGGGCGUAAAGCGUGCGUAGGUGGUCGUUUAAGUCCGUUGUGAAAGCCCUGGGCUCAACCUGGGAACUGCAGUGGAUACUGGGCGACUAGAAUGUGGUAGAGGGUAGCGGAAUUCCUGGUGUAGCAGUGAAAUGCGUAGAGAUCAGGAGGAACAUCCAUGGCGAAGGCAGCUACCUGGACCAACAUUGACACUGAGGCACGAAAGCGUGGGGAGCAAACAGGA
This 427-nucleotide unclassified non-coding RNA is filed under the name plant metagenome. RNAcentral's name for it is "partial contains 5.8S ribosomal RNA, internal transcribed spacer 2, and large subunit ribosomal RNA". It matches the Rfam family "Bacterial small subunit ribosomal RNA", at positions 358 to 777 of the family's 1533-position model. The record is from RNAcentral.